RNAcentral lists this long non-coding RNA (1107 nucleotides) under Coturnix japonica (Japanese quail). RNAcentral describes it as "lncRNA (ENSCJPG00005000573.1)". Lineage: Eukaryota; Metazoa; Chordata; Aves; Galliformes; Phasianidae. The record is from RNAcentral.
CAGAUGUGUAUGUCUGGAAAAUAUAGUGCCUUGCUACAUGACAUCCACGCAUUGUUAUUGUGAAGGAGGUGUGCUGCAAGGCUGCAGCUGGCAGCUGUGAGAAAACGCAUCACUUACAGCAGAGACCUUCAGACCUAGGCUAGCGUUGCCAGCAGCUGAAAUUCCUGGAGCUGUAAACACUGUUGAUAUUGUCUAAAGAUAAAAUAAAAUAAAAUAGUUCAGGAAGACCUGACAAAUGUGCUCUUUCCCCUGCAUCAGUGUGGUAGGGAUGGAUACUGUUUUAUACACAUGGCUGGUUGUUCACUAGUAAAGUACCAAUCCAAAAAGGCUGUUUAACAACAGUUAAUUCCACUUAACACGGGCUAGGAAAUCAUGCAGGGAAUUCACCACCAGCCUGGCCACUGGGGGAAAACAACUGGUGUUGCCACCUACAAGGAACUCAAACAGCUCAGCAUCCACCUGCUCCCAACAGGUGGGCACCCAGCAUAUAUUACAGAUUGCAUAGAGAACAGCUGAGGGAUGAUACCCUCCCUUAAAUCAAGCUUGUUUACAUUUACUUGAAUAGUGGCUUACUUAAAUUCUUUACAAAGGAGUAGUCAGAAUUUGAAGAGAAGAUUCUGCUUCAUGGGCUGAUUCUUGCUCCAGAAAGAAAAGACAUCCUGGGUUCAGAGGGAUCCUGAAAGAAAUGCUGUUAAUGAAUGGCCUUCCCAGCUGUGCAUGCUAUGCCCUGGACCUCCUACAACAGGGUCUGAUUUGGCAUCAGUCUCCGGUAGGCUAUCCAUGCCAUCUGGAGAAGAGGCUUUCUGCAGAGUGAAUGAAACAGCUGCAAGAGUGUUUUUAGGCAGGGAAGUGAAAAAUGUGGCAUUAGAGGAUUUGCAACUAUUGGAGUGUUUUUCCAAGUAUUAAGGGACUGAUUUUACUCCCUUUUCACUGAAGGCAACAUCACUCAUUGCACAAACAUCUUUUUUUAUAACAUGGAUUAUUUGAAUCACUGGAUUUUUCAACAAAUUCCAGAGACUUUAUCCCAGAGCCACUAUAUUUCUAUGACUUUCAGUAAUGUAGUGGAGAUGGAAUAAAUCUUUGAUGCUCUUUGUGUAUUUAAGAAAG